GACGAACGCUGGCGGCGUGCUUAACACAUGCAAGUCGAACGAUGAAACCGGAGCUUGCUCUGGUGAAUUAGUGGCGAACGGGUGAGUAACACGUGAGUAACCUGCCCUUGACUCUGGGAUAACUGCGGGAAACUGUAGCUAAUACCGGAUACGACCCUCGGAGGCAUCUCCUGGGGGUGGAAAGAAUUUCGGUCAAGGAUGGACUCGCGGCCUAUCAGCUAGUUGGUGAGGUAAAGGCUCACCAAGGCGACGACGGGUAGCCGGCCUGAGAGGGUGACCGGCCACACUGGGACUGAGAAACGGCCCAGACUCCUACGGGAGGCAGCAGUGGGGAAUAUUGCACAAUGGGCGCAAGCCUGAUGCAGCAACGCCGCGUGAGGGAUGACGGCCUUCGGGUUGUAAACCUCUUUUAGCAGGGAAGAAGCGAAAGUGACGGUACCUGCAGAAAAAGCACCGGCUAACUACGUGCAGCAGCCGCCGUAA
RNAcentral lists this ribosomal RNA (483 nucleotides) under uncultured bacterium. RNAcentral describes it as "partial 16S ribosomal RNA". It matches the Rfam family "Bacterial small subunit ribosomal RNA", at positions 28 to 523 of the family's 1533-position model. The record is from RNAcentral.